CCACCACCGAGUCCAGUCUGCGGGCCACGGAGAUCCGCGCCGACAACCUAUACAGCCAGGUGGUGGGACUGUCGGCCGCACAGGCUAACCUGAGCAAACAGCUGAACAUCAGCACCCUCGUCAAGGACACCGUCAUGCAGCAGCUGCUGACCACGCGGCGCGAGGUGGAGCGCAUCAACGCCAGCUUCCGCCAGUGCCAAGGCGACCUGGUAAGAGGCAACUCGUGUGCCCUUGGUUGCAGCCCUGGGCGCUCCCAUGGGAAGAAAUCUGGAUUGCUCCCCACACACCCCCCCCGGAACACACACACCUUCUUUAUUUAUUUAGAACAUGACCUCAGGUAGUUCAGAUAGCUGGUUUAGAACUCGCUAUGUACCCAAGGAUGGCCUUGUUGGGCUCCUGACCCUCCUGCCUCCGCCUCUGGGACUCUGGGAUGACCAGCCAGUGGUCAAGCCUGGUGUAUGUAGUACAUGCUACACCAUGGAGCUACAGGCUUUCUCUCUCCCUAACUCCCCACCCUAGGCAGGGUGGUUUUUAAUUUUUUUUUUUUUUCAGAGCUGGGGACUGAACCCAGGGCCUUGCGCUUGCUAGGCAAGCGCUCUACCACUGAGCUAAAUCCCCAACCCUGGCAGGGUGGUUUUAAACUCGUGACAAUUCUCUGCCUCAGCCGCUUGAAUGCUGAGAUGAUAGGUGUGCGUCACCCCACGUAGUUGAUGAGGAUCUCAUGACAGUGUGAUUUCUCGAUGGCAGAUAUCGCCUGUCAAGAAAGAGUUUGCUGCAGGUGGCUUGGUUUUUCAGAUUAAAUGUAUUUAUUGCACAUGUAUGUGUUUACCCACAUGCUCUGGCCUCUGUGUGGAGGUCAGAGGACAGCCUUCCACCUUGUGGAAGACUUCACUCAGAUUGUCAGCCUGAGCAGCAAGUGCCUUUACCCCUGAGCUGCCU
This 939-nucleotide long non-coding RNA is filed under the name Rattus norvegicus (Norway rat). RNAcentral describes it as "long non-coding RNA NONRATT011845". The record is from RNAcentral. Lineage: Eukaryota; Metazoa; Chordata; Mammalia; Rodentia; Muridae.